RNAcentral lists this transfer RNA (38 nucleotides) under Paepalanthus dasynema. RNAcentral's name for it is "partial tRNA-Phe". The record is from RNAcentral. Lineage: Eukaryota; Viridiplantae; Streptophyta; Magnoliopsida; Poales; Eriocaulaceae.
GUCGGGAUAGCUCAUUUGGUAGAGCAGAGGACUGAAAA